RNAcentral lists this transfer RNA (76 nucleotides) under Idiomarina sp. RNAcentral describes it as "tRNA-Met". It matches the Rfam family "tRNA". From Rfam's summary of the family: Transfer RNA (tRNA) molecules are approximately 80 nucleotides in length. Their secondary structure includes four short double-helical elements and three loops (D, anti-codon, and T loops). Lineage: Bacteria; Pseudomonadati; Pseudomonadota; Gammaproteobacteria; Alteromonadales; Idiomarinaceae. The record is from RNAcentral.
GGCGCCUUAGCUCAGUGGUUAGAGCACCCGACUCAUAAUCGGUUGGUCCCCAGUUCAAAUCUGGGAGGGGCCACCA